CCACACUCCAGUACUAUAAGGGUUCCUGCAUAGGAUACCAGUCCAGGCACCUCGGCUGCAGCACGGAUAUCAUCAGUACCCCUUAAAACGGGGAGACACGCCUAACCCUCAAGAGGGUCACCAGGUGACUGGUAACUAUGAACAUCUCUUUGGCCGUGAAUCUGAAAGGGUUCCGUUAUGUAACCGUCAGAAAAUAUGGCGUAAUAUUUCACGCAAAGUAAAUGCUCUUGGAGUCGCAAAACGCACACCAGCUGAAUUACAGCGUAAAUGGUAUGACUGUAAGCAUCAAGUAAAAGAGAAGUUGUCCAAAAUACACCUACACUCCAAAAAGACAGGAGGUGGCCCACCAUCACGUAAAAAGCUAAAUGAAGUUGAAGAGAUGAUAUCCAAAACUUUUCAACGCGAACAAAUCGAAGGCAAAUAUGACCUUAUGGCUGGCUUGGAAGUGAAUUCACAGAUAAGCAUAGAAGAUGAAGGCGAACUAGAUCUUCAACAAAGUGUUAUGGAUGAAGAAGGACCUGUCCCCGAUCUAGAACAAUCAAGGGUUGAAAUAGGAGAGGAAACCCAAAAUCUAGCUUUGGAAAAUGUUGAUUUUGAUGUGUUACCCUCACUUAUUCAAAAUUACAUGUUAAAAAUUAGGCUAAUAUUCAAAACUAUAUUGAAAGUCAAAAUAAGCUAACAGCAGCAUUAGAAAAUACUUGCACAAAAAAUUGUGCCGAAAUUGCUACAGUAACUGAAGCUAUUUUGGCUCUAAAUUCAACAAUGUCCAGGAUAGCUGAUCACAUGACAGGGGCUGACCAAACUAGAGGUGAAUCGACUUCUGCAAGGUAUGUUGAAGUCCCACCACCUGAAAGUAUUGGUAAUUUUACUUUGACACAGCAAGACAAAAGUGUGAGAUUGCUUUCUCACCAUUGCAUGGAAUUGAGGACACAGCCCAAAUCUAGUCCACCAUUUUUGUCCAGUGACACUGAUUGCACUGAGGUCAAGCUAGCUAAUGUAGAUGGAGAUGCUGUGAUGCAAGAAAGUUUAGGGGACACUUCCCCUGUCCCUGGUCCCUCAAAGAUAAUUGCGAAGCCAAAGGCCGCUGAUGCUAGCUUCCUGUUGAAUAUAAAGAAACAAUUGUGUGAUACAGAAAUGGAGGAACAGUUUCAAGCACCUUCAAACAUUACCAACAAGGGAAAGGUUAAGCGUUGUAAGCGAGUGUCUGCAAGGGUUCGCCCUACCAGUGCUGUGAAA
This is a long non-coding RNA of Hyla sarda, 1236 nucleotides long. RefSeq lists it as uncharacterized. The record is from RefSeq and is a predicted model, not a curated record. Lineage: Eukaryota; Metazoa; Chordata; Amphibia; Anura; Hylidae. The transcript has 3 exons.